AACAUUUUUUUUUCAAAAAAAAAAUUUUUUUUAAACAAUCGUUACUUUUAAUUUUAUACAAUGAAACCCGUCUUUUACCGACUGCGCCAGUUUGGUUGUGUACUAAUUUUGUUAAUGAAAACACUUUUUUUUUGUAUUUUAAAGUUUAAGUUUAAGUAUUUUAUUUUAUUAUUUAACAAGAAACAAGUUUACAAAUAGACGAAUAAUAGUCGACUGACUAAAGACUUAAAACUAACAUACAAACAGGUACGAUAAAACAUAAUAAGUGUUUACGAUAUCACGAAUGAUCUCUCCAGCAUUAUCUUCUUUAGAAGAUGAUAUUGGAGAGAGACAUACGUUCUUUGGAUACACUUCUAGCGUAUGUGGUUCAUACGAUAGAAGUGCUUGAAAACAUAAUCUCUUAUAAUGGAAGGGGAAGAACACAAAUACUCUCCUUCUUAUUCCAUUAUAUAACAAUAUAUAAAAAAAAAUUUAAUUUUGCUCACAAGUGGCUUCUUCAAUAAAUGUUAAUUUCAUAAAUUAUACUAAAAAAAAAGUAAUAGGUUGUUUAAUUUGUUAACUUGUAAUUUUUUUUUUCUAUUCCUGCCAUAAAAACACAAAAAAAGAUAUUAAAACUCCAAAAACUUAGCUGCAAGUAUUUAUGAUAAACUUUUGUAUGGGCUCGACACACUGUGCGCCAUCCAGAACGAGUGAAACGAAUCUUAUGUUUAGUAGAGACUACAAUAACUGAGUGUGAUCCACAUUUCACAGACUUGUAGUGUCUGCACCCUCCGACCACUUGUUGAUGUGUUCGCUCUAAAUCCUAGACAAAAACAACAUUCAACAAUUCUAUGUCGAGUAUAAAAAUGACGUUAGAGACUCCUUGCUCGCCACACUAUUGGAUGCAGUCCGUUCGAGUGGCAAUCAAGAUGUGCAAGUUCGUAUUACAAAUACAUUGCGAGGAAAGCAUUUUGUUCCCCUCAACAGUUGUGUGCAUGAAGUGACUCUCCUUCGUUUAGUGAUAAAGAAUUUCCAAAAUUCCUGACGUAGAUGUAAGAUUUAAGAGAAUUUCAACGCCAACAUUCCUCGCCAAGUCUGAAGUAAAGUGUCACACAAGACGUUCAUGUUUUGAUAUACAAUUCGACUGAAUAAAUCUAAAUCUCUAACCAAA
This is a long non-coding RNA of Episyrphus balteatus (marmalade hoverfly), 1150 nucleotides long. RefSeq lists it as uncharacterized. Lineage: Eukaryota; Metazoa; Arthropoda; Insecta; Diptera; Syrphidae. The record is from RefSeq and is a predicted model, not a curated record. The transcript has 2 exons.